This is a long non-coding RNA of Neocloeon triangulifer, 3285 nucleotides long. RefSeq lists it as uncharacterized. The record is from RefSeq and is a predicted model, not a curated record. NCBI's taxonomy places the organism in Eukaryota, Metazoa, Arthropoda, Insecta, Ephemeroptera, Baetidae. The transcript has 6 exons.
CAAGCGCCGGCUUGUCUCAGACCAGACUUCUAGAUCCAGAAUUUUUUCGCUUGAAGAAAAAUCGGGCGAAACUGACAGAAAUCAAACUGUAUUCGCCGAAUCACGAAGAAAAUUGGAUUUUCUCACCGCGGAGACCACGCUGACGAGUCCGCGCUCAUGACUUCACCCCAGGUCAUUCGGACUACAAAACAACAAGUGGGCAGCGGCCACGUGUUCAACCUUGGCUGGAACACAUGAUGCUUUCUUCAAAAAACGCUCGCCGCCGGCUUUGUCUCCAACAACUUCGGCAACGCCAUGGACAUCAACCAGGGAUAUCGACAAUACUUUUUAUGGCCUCAACCAAUCGAAUGACAACAUUGAGCGGCAGAAACGGAAAAAUGAGUGAUGGCCUACCACCAUCAGUCACCAGGCAAACCAAUGCCAGUCGGCAAGUCGAAAUCUCCCCAAGGUUGUUGCAGAGAAGUGAGCAGGUCGAAGAGACGCCACUUGUCAACAGUGUUUGAGGACUUGGCAGACACCGCCAGUGCCAGGCUCUUGGUCAAGUUUUGAAACCUGCAGAAUACAAGAGCUCCUAUGACCUGAAGUAGGUUUAAAUGUAUUCUGCAUGCGACGAUCAAGACAAGUAAAGUGACUAGGUUGUGCAUUUGCCACAGAUAGGCGCAACAUCCUCCACCCACUUUUGCCUGAGAGCCCAAUGUUUUCAGUUUUUUUACACUGUUUAAAUUUAAAGUUUAAUGAAUAGUUAUGUGGGUGAAUUUUGUUAUUUUUACUACAAAAAAUGUAUAAAUUAAGCAACUGCACUUAUGCCAAUUAUCUUUUUGUAAUGGAGUGGCGGCACCCCCGCAACAGAUACCGGUCCAACGGAGCGGACAACAGCUGAAGGCCGCCCCUAACAGGGGACGUUGCCCGCCACCGCUGGCAAUGCGUCGUCUGAAUGGCUUGUGUGUGAAUAAUGCCGAGGCAUCACAACCACCCAUUGAGCGUCUGCAUUCGCCAUGCGGGAACACGAUUUGGUGUCCAGGGCUUGGUUGCGACUAAAGUCCUGUGUCUGAACGCAUGGGAGGUGCGGAGAAUUCAGAUGACACUGAUGCUGACGUGGUGCACUCAUGAGAUUGAGUUGUCAUGAGUGUGGCAAUGGGCGUGAAAGAGGUUGGGUUCGUUGUUGGCACCCUUGUGUAGUCCAGUAUUUUUGGUCACGCCGGGUGCCUCCUCGAACACCUUCCACGUUGCGCAACCGGGAGCCCCUGCCCCCGAACAAUAGCUGGAAGUGAGUCUCAGUACCGCGGAUGUCUGCUUCAGUUUGCUGGGAUGUCAAACCACUCCACUUUAAUACUUCUUUAUUAAAAAUGGCCAAAUAACUUAUUAAAACUAAAUGCAUGUGUCUUUGAACUUUAAGGAUGGCUUUUGCAUGAACAGUGAGUGAAGUGCAAGUGGUUAUUUUUUAUUUUUUACCAAAAAAACAAUCUAAACGAAUCUUAUUUAAACUGGCCAAGUCAAAUGUAUUGUUCUCUUGUAACUUUUCCAAAAUUGGAGUGAUGAAAGAUGAUUUAUAAUAGGACCGCAUAAUGCAGAAAGUUUCUGUAUACAAGCUAAUGAAUGAUUCUGAAUGCGCAGCAAACUAAAUACAAUUUUUUUAAAUUCCAUCAUCAAAUUUUCUGGCCAUAUCUUUUGUAUCGGAGAAUAUGAAUGCAAGGAUUAAAAAUUUGAAGUAUUGAGCAGCUGCGGCGCAUGAAAAAAAAUGAUAAUAUUGAUUGUUAAUGCUUUGUACCCGGAAUAUUAAAUGUGACAAAAUCAGUUUGCUAAGUGUUCUAAAAACGGACUGAAAUAUAAUUUCUUGUUAGAUAAAGUAGGUAAAAUGCAUGUUAAUAUAAAUAGUUAAAAUAGUCUUGUAUUUUAAAAGUGACCAAGUGUUAGUGAGAAAAGUUCAGUAGUGCAUGUGAAAUAGUUUAAGUGUUUGGGGGUAACACAUUUUUAUUAUUAGAUUUUUCUUUAAAGUGAGAAUAAUUUUGGAAGUUCUUUAGUUUAUUUCCACAGAUCCUGCCUGAGCGUGUCAGCUUGGAAGGGCGGUUUUGGCUUCAGCACCAAUGGUCUGACCCUCGGACCGCGAUGCCUCCUUGGACAACAGCGUGCGAGGACGCUUGCCAUCUUCACCCUCAGCUUUUUCCAAAAACUCUGGAAAAGCCGUGACCGACAGCCAGACGGACGUCUUUGAAAAAAAAUUCGGUCAUCAGGCGAACCAAUGCCUGUCGGCCAGUCGAAAUCUCCCCAAGGUUGUUGCAGAGCAGUGAGCCAGGUCGAAGCAAAACGCCACUCGUCAACAGUGUUUGAGGACUUGGCAGACACCGCCAGUGCCAGGCUCUUGGUCAAGUUUUGAAACCUGCAGAAUACAAGAGCUCCUAUGACCUGAAGUAGGUUUAAAUGUAUUCUGCAUGCGACGAUCAAGACAAGUAAAGUGACUAGGUUGUGCAUUUGCCACAGAUAGGCGCAACAUCCUCCACCCACUUUUGCCUGAGAGCCCAAUGUUUUCAGUUUUUUUACACUGUUUAAAUUUAAAGUUUAAUGAAUAGUUAUCUGGGUGAAUUUUGUCAUAAAUUUUAUUACAAAAAAUGUAUAAAUUAAGCAACUGCACUUAUGCCAAUUAUCUUUUUGUAAUGGAGUGGCGGCACCCCCGCAACAGAUACCGGUCCAACGGAGCGGACAACAGCUGAAGGCCGCCCCUAACAGGGGACGUUGCCCGCCACCGCUGGCAAUGCGUCGUCUGAAUGGCUUGUGUGUGAAUAAUGCCGAGGCAUCACAACCACCCAUUGAGCUUCUGCAUUCGCCAUGCGGGAACACGAUUUGGUGUCCAGGGCUUGGUUGCGACUAAAGUCCUGUGUCUGAACGCAUGGGAGGUGCGGAGAAUUCAGAUGACACUGAUGCUGACGUGGUGCACUCAUGAGAUUGAGUUGUCAUGAGUGUGGCAAUGGGCGUGAAAGAGGUUGGGUUCGUUGUUGGCACCCUUGUGUAGUCCAGUAUUUUUGGUCACGCCGGGCUUGCCUCCUCGAACACCUUCCACGUUGCGCAACCGGGAGCCCCUGCCCCCGAACAAUAGCUGGAAGUGAGUCUCAGUACCGCGGAUGUCUGCUUCAGUUUGCUGGGAUGUCAAACCACUCCACUUUAAUACUUCUUUAUUAAAAAUGGCCAAAUAACUUAUUCAAACUAAAUGCAUGUGUCUUUGAACUUUAAGGAUGGCUUUUGCAUGAACAGUGAGUGAAGCGCAAGUGGUAAUUUUUUUUUUUUUUUUUU